AAGGAGGGUGAUACGAAUGCAUUCUAUUCACUGUGCCAUCUGCUUAAUAUAGAUGAUCAGAGGGGAAAAGAAGAGCUAGAUCCAUUGGGACAGACGCACGGACGUGCGUCUGUCCCAGUUCAUGAGCGUCCUCAUACUGUUCUGUGCAAUUUAUCUUUUUGCAUUGGCACAGAUCGGUAACUGCGUGAGUGAUACAUCA
RNAcentral lists this small nucleolar RNA (199 nucleotides) under Tetrapisispora phaffii CBS 4417. Its description in RNAcentral is "Small nucleolar RNA snR8". It matches the Rfam family "Small nucleolar RNA snR8". The record is from Rfam by way of RNAcentral. Lineage: Eukaryota; Fungi; Ascomycota; Saccharomycetes; Saccharomycetales; Saccharomycetaceae.